Molecule: ribosomal RNA, 546 nt
Filed under: uncultured Glomeromycotina
Lineage: Eukaryota; Fungi; Glomeromycota
Description: SSU rRNA
Rfam family: Eukaryotic small subunit ribosomal RNA
Source: RNAcentral
UUGGAGGGCAAGUCUGGUGCCAGCAGCCGCGGUAAUUCCAGCUCCAAUAGCGUAUAUUAAAGUUGUUGCAGUUAAAAAGCUCGUAGUUGAAUUUCGGGGUUAGUAGGUUGGUCAUGCCACUGGUAUGUACUGGUCUCACUGAUUCCUCCUUCCUGAUGAGCCGUAAUGCCAUUAAUUUGGUGUUGCGAGGAAUCUGGACUGUUACUUUGAAAAAAUUAGAGUGUUAAAGCAAGCUAACGCUUGAAUACAUUAGCAUGGAAUAAUGAAAUAGGACGUUCGAUCCUAUUUUGUUGGUUUCUAGGAUUGACGUAAUGAUUAAUAGGGAUAGUUGGGGGCAUUAGUAUUCAAUUGUCAGAGGUGAAAUUCUUGGAUUUAUUGAAGACUAACUACUGCGAAAGCAUUUGCCAAGGAUGUUUUCAUUAAUCAAGAACGAAAGUUAGGGGAUCGAAGACGAUCAGAUACCGUCGUAGUCUUAACCAUAAACUAUGCCGACUAGGGAUCGGAUGAUGUUAUUUUUAAUGACUCAUUCGGCGCCUUACGGGAAAC